CGCACGUCCACAAGGGGCGAGUUAGUCGGACAACGCACGUCCACAAGGGGUGAGUUAGUCGGACAACGCUACAACAUACGUCUUCAGGGGGUGAGUUAGUCGGACAACGCUACAACAUACGUCUUCAGGGGGUGAGUUAGUCGGACAACGCUACAACAUACGUCUACAAGGGGUGAGUUAGUCGGACAACGCACGUCCACAAGGGGUGAGUUAGUCGGCCAAUGCUACAACAUACGUCCACAAGGGGUGAGUUAGUCAGACAACGCUACAACAUACGUCCACAAGGGGCGAGUUAGUCGGACAACGCACGUCCACAAGGGGCGAGUUAGUCGGACAACGCACGUCCACAAGGGGCGAGUUAGUCGGACAACGCACGUCCACAAGGGGCGAGUUAGUCGGACAACGCACGUCCACAAGGGGCGAGUUAGUCGGACAACGCUACAACAUACGUCCACAAGGGGCGAGUUAGUCGGACAACGCUACAACAUACGUCCACAAGGGGUGAGUUAGUCGGACAACGCACGUCCACAAGGGGUGAGUUAGUCGGACAACGCACGUCCACAAGGGGUGAGUUAGUCGGGCAACGCUACAACAUAUGUCCACAAGGGGUGAGUUAGUCGGACAACGCACGUCCACAAGGGGUGAGUUAGUCGGACAACGCUACAACACACGUCCACAAGGGGUGAGUUAGUCUGACAACGCUACAACAUACGUCCACAAGGGGUGAGUUAGUCGGACAACGCUACAAAAUACGUCCACAAGGGGUGAGUUAGUCGGACAAUGCUACAACAUACGUCCACAAGGGGUGAGUUAGUCGGACAACGCACGUCCACAAGGGGCGAGUUAGUCGGACAACGCACGUCCACAAGGGGCGAGUUAGUCGGACAACGCACGUCCACAAGGGGCGAGUUAGUCGGACAACGCACGUCCACAAGGGGCGAGUUAGUCGGACAACGCACGUCCACAAGGGGCGAGUUAGUCGGACAACGCUACAACGCACGUCCACAAGGGGUGAGUUAGUCGGACAACGCUACAAUAUACGUCCACAAGGGGUGAGUUAGUCGGACAACGCACGUCCAGAAGGGGUGAGUUAGUCGGACAACGCUACAACAUACGUCCACAAGGGGUGAGUUAGUCGGACAACGCACGUCCACAAUGGGUGAGUUUGUCGGACAACGCUACAACAUAUGCCCACAAGGGGUGAGUUAGUCGGACAACACACGUCCAGAAGGGGUGAGUUAGUCGGACAACGCUACAACAUACGUCCACAAGGGGUGAGUUAGUCGGACAACGCUACAACACACGUCCACAAGGGGUGAGUUAGUCGGACAACGCACCUCCACAAGGGGUGAGUUAGUCGGACAACGCACGUCCACAAGGGGUGAGUUAGUCGGACAACACACGUCCACAAGGGGUGAGUUAGUCAGACAACGCUACAACAUACGUCCACAAGGGGUGAGUUAGUCGGACAACGCUACAACAUACGUCCACAAGGGGUGAGUUAGUCGGACAACGCUACAAUAUACGUCCACAAGGGGUGAGUUAGUCGGACAACGCACGUCCACAAGGGGUGAGUUAGUCGGACAACGCUACAACAUACGUCCACAAGGGGUGAGUUAGUCGGACAACGCACGUCCACAAGGGGUGAGUUUGUCGGACAACGCUACAACAUACGCCCACAAGGGGUGAGUUAGUCGGACAACACACGUCCACAAGGGGUGAGUUAGUCGGACAACGCUACAACAUACGUCCACAGGGGGUGAGUUAGUCGGACAACGCACGUCCACAAGGGGUGAGUUAGUCGGACAAUGCUACAACAUACGUCCACAAGGGGUGAGUUAGUCGGACAACGCUACAACAUUCGUCCACAAGGGGCGAGUUAGUCGGACAACGCACGUCCACAAGGGGCGAGUUAGUCGGACAACGCACGUCCACAA
This 1937-nucleotide long non-coding RNA is filed under the name Salmo salar (Atlantic salmon). RNAcentral's name for it is "lncRNA (ENSSSAG00000119584.1)". The record is from RNAcentral. Lineage: Eukaryota; Metazoa; Chordata; Actinopteri; Salmoniformes; Salmonidae.